Molecule: ribosomal RNA, 253 nt
Filed under: uncultured bacterium
Lineage: Bacteria
Description: partial 16S ribosomal RNA
Rfam family: Bacterial small subunit ribosomal RNA
Source: RNAcentral
UACAGAGGUCCCGAGCGUUGUUCGGAUUCACUGGGCGUAAAGGGUGCGUAGGUGGCGAGGUAAGUCGGAUGUGAAAGCUCGGAGCUCAACUCCGAAAUGGCAUUGGAAACUACCUUGCUCGAGGGUUGGAGGGGGGACUGGAAUACCUGGUGUAGCAGUGAAAUGCGUAGAUAUCAAGUGGAACACCAGUGGCGAAGGCGAGUCCCUGGACAACUCCUGACACUGAGGCACGAAAGCUAGGGGAGCAAACAGG